This 257-nucleotide long non-coding RNA is filed under the name Glycine max (soybean). RNAcentral describes it as "long non-coding RNA (GMAX_LNC001585)". The record is from RNAcentral. Lineage: Eukaryota; Viridiplantae; Streptophyta; Magnoliopsida; Fabales; Fabaceae.
CGAUGAUGACACUUGUAUCUUCGUACUCCUUGUCAGAAAAUCGUCAAUAAUCAUCUUUGUAUGCUUCAUCAAAACAACAUGCCAUAGAUGACCUUUCUUUACACAUUUCGAGGUAUGUAUGACAUAAACAACUUGUAUUCAGAGAUAAUCUUUAUCUUCUAAGUUUUGUCUUCUUGAUUUAUCGUCGAAUCAAAUCAAUUUAAAUCCUUUUCUAUGACCAUUUGAACAUAAUCUCAGCAUCAUAAUCUUUCAUUCCA